Long non-coding RNA from Peromyscus eremicus (cactus mouse), 1663 nucleotides. RefSeq lists it as uncharacterized. Lineage: Eukaryota; Metazoa; Chordata; Mammalia; Rodentia; Cricetidae. The transcript is spliced from 9 exons. The record is from RefSeq and is a predicted model, not a curated record.
GAUGUCACUAUGUUGUGGCAACACCCACUGUCCUUGGGAAGUUUAUUCAGUGCCUUCACCAUUUUCUGAUGAACAUGAUGGCAUACUGAAGUGUCUUAUUCAGAAAGAGAAUGGAGAGGUUAGAGAAACCAGAGAGUGACAGAAGAAAGCUGACCUUCAGCCACAAUGUAAAACGUCAAGAAAGAAAUGGUCAAGAGAAUCAUGUAAUGAGUUCUGUGCAAGAAAAGGGAAUCUUCCUGGAGGAAGUGGGCUUGUGCUGAAUCUUCCAGUAAUGGGGAACAGAAAGCUGGAGUCUCUGGGAACCAACAGAACUUCCUGCUUUUCAUGCCUCUUGAAAUUCAAGGAUUCCAGGAUAUUAAUUGUUCUGGCUCAGAAGCCGGGAACUGGCUUGUGGACUCUGCAGCCAAGUUGAAUUCUGAGUCUGCAGCUGUGAAUGAGCCUGAAGAGGCUAUCUGCUUGGUUACUUGGAGCAUGUGCUAUGAGGGCAGAGAAAACCAGAUAGCUGGGAUAACCACUUUCCUUCAAAUCGAGGAGAGAGCUGAGAUCCCCAGAGGGGGCAUCUGAAGCACAGGACAAAAUAAUUUGUGGUGUCACCGAGUCACUGAUGAACAUAAAGGAGCACCAGAGAGCUACCAUCCCACCAAACCUUCCUCACCAAGAUGCAGAUGAAGCAGAAGGUGCAGCCUGACCAGUCAGCUACAGAAAAUGACCAUUGAAAGAAAGUAACAGUGAGAUUGCCUGAUCUUUAUCACAGAAGAGAGCAUGAAGAAUAGGUGUUUGUGCAUGUAUCACCCUCUAAUCCCUGCAAUCGGGAUCUGUGGUUGUGCAUGAGCACUUCCCUGUCUCACAAUUCCCAUGUGAUUCCUUGGUGAAAAUUGGGAGCACCACUGUAUUAUCAUUGAGAAUUUCUUUUUGAAGACAGGACAAACAUUGUCACAGACUCUGAAGGGUACACACUUGUGGAGAAGACACCAGGGAAAUUCUUAGACAGCUAUUUUAGCAAGCCUGCUGAGAGAGCUCAUGCAGCUCCACCUCCCAUCAUCUAAACAGCCUGCCUCUACCAGUGUAGGGUCAGAAUAGGUGUUCUUGGAUUUCUGUUGUUGUUGGAGUUUUCAGAAAUAGUAUGAUUCUUUCCGGAAUUCCCUUUUCUCUACCAUUGGCCAGGAGGAAACGGUCAGAGACCCUCAGACACAAAAAAAGCAGGAUACAUUUAUAGGAUUCAUUGCAUCUUUGUCUUUAGCUACCUUAAAUCCACCAAAGAUGAAUACAUUCUGAAUGAAAAUCCAAGAUUCUAGCAAUAUCUGAAGUCUCAGAGAUAAUGGGGUCCCCUGGAAAGCUAAGCAUGGCAGCUGUGCACUAGGAAGUAUUUCAAAGGCAUAUGGACUCAAACAAGAGCCUAGAGAUUGGCUUAGAUAAUAAAGAAUCAGAAGGCAAUCUGGUGUCAGGAAAAUCCUUAAAAAAGCAGAACAAGAGGAUAAUCCUGAAAAGAACCUGGAAGCUACCUCCUGCUGAUGCUCCUGAUUGCUAACACUUCCAGAGUCCCUCAUCAGCUAAGACCACCAAGCUGGGCUUCAGGACAUUAGCAGUUUCACUACUGGGUGAGCAGAGUUCAAAGGACUCAGAGAGAAAAAAUCCUCCCAGGUGAGUCCUUCCACACUAUGAU